GACGGAGGGUGCUAGCGUUGUUCGGAAUUACUGGGUGUAAAGGGCGCGUAGGCAGUUUAUCAAGUUGGGCGUGAAAGCCCCGGGCUUAACCUGGGAAUUGCGUUUGAUACUGGUAGACUAGAGGACGGGAGAGGAAAGUGGAAUUCCUAGUGUAGAAGUGAAAUUCGUAGAUAUUAGGAGGAACACCAGAGGCGAAGGCGACUUUCUGGACCGAUUCUGACGCUGAGGCGCGAAAGCGUGGGGAGCAAACAGG
RNAcentral lists this ribosomal RNA (253 nucleotides) under uncultured bacterium. Its description in RNAcentral is "partial 16S ribosomal RNA". It matches the Rfam family "Bacterial small subunit ribosomal RNA", at positions 524 to 776 of the family's 1533-position model. The record is from RNAcentral.